RNAcentral lists this ribosomal RNA (467 nucleotides) under uncultured bacterium. RNAcentral's name for it is "partial 16S ribosomal RNA". It matches the Rfam family "Bacterial small subunit ribosomal RNA", at positions 28 to 506 of the family's 1533-position model. The record is from RNAcentral.
GACGAACGCUGGCGGCGUGCUUAACACAUGCAAGUCGAACGGAAAGGCCCUGCUUUUGUGGGGUGCUCGAGUGGCGAACGGGUGAGUAACACGUGAGUAACCUGCCCUUGACUUUGGGAUAACUUCAGGAAACUGGGGCUAAUACCGGAUAGGAGCUCCUGCUGCAUGGUGGGGGUUGGAAAGUUUCGGCGGUUGGGGAUGGACUCGCGGCUUAUCAGCUUGUUGGUGGGGUAGUGGCUUACCAAGGCUUUGACGGGUAGCCGGCCUGAGAGGGUGACCGGCCACAUUGGGACUGAGAUACGGCCCAGUCUCCUACGGGAGGCAGCAGUGGGGAAUAUUGCACAAUGGGCGGAAGCCUGAUGCAGCAACGCCGCGUGCGGGAUGACGGCCUUCGGGUUGUAAACCGAUUUCGCCUGUGACGAAGCGUGAGUGACGGUAAUGGGUAAAGAAGCACCGGCUAACUACGU